RNAcentral lists this long non-coding RNA (968 nucleotides) under Homo sapiens (human). RNAcentral's name for it is "non-protein coding lnc-MEP1A-5:2". Lineage: Eukaryota; Metazoa; Chordata; Mammalia; Primates; Hominidae. The record is from RNAcentral.
ACACUUAAGCAGACUGUUCGCUUUACAAGAUAAGUGGCCUUUAUCCAAAGAAAUGACGUUGGAUCUCAGACUGCAGGGUGCUUGUAGGAGUGGGAAGCAAGCGUUGCUAGGAGGAAUAGAAAUUUUCAUCUUUUCUGGAUGUGGGGUCUACUCUCCCUUCUUCAUGUGUCUAUUUUGGGUCUUCCCUCCACUAAAGCUAAGCUCUCUGAUGGCAGUUUUGUCCAUCUGGUUAGAACAGUGCCUGGGCAAUAGUAGAUACUCAAAAAGUAUUAAUACUUGUUAUUUUAGUGAAUGUUUAGUAAAUGGCUUUUAGUGAAUGUUGUCUGUUUCUAGUGCCCUGCAGCACAGAUCUGAUAAACUGAGGGAGAGAAGGGAGCUGAGCUGGGUUUUACAGAGUUACCGCGAGGAUUUCUGUUGUGGGAAAAUACCCAGGAAGUGACUGAGCCCAGCCAGACGUCACUGGAGACAUGCAGAAGAAAAGGCAAGAUUGGUUGUGACUCUCCUCUUCUGGGAACAUUCUAGAAAGGGGUAGCAAGGAUGCUGAAACCAGGCCAGCUCCAUAAGACCUCACUUUGCAGAAAUAGAGAGAAGUAAGGGGUGUAGGUAGGAAGAACAGAGUGGUACUGAGAAGUCUCAAGGAAGAGAGCGAAGGGGAAGAGCAGCAUAGAAAGUGUGGCUGCAUUUGCGUGGUGGUCUUACUGCGUACAAUGGUUGAGUUCCAUGGUCCUUGUCAGCCUCCCUCACAGGGGGAAUGCGCAGAUCUCUGAAAAAAAUAGCUCCCUCUUCAGCCUGCCCCGAAAUCCCCACCUAUUUCCACAACAGGGAGAAUGCAAAUUUUCCUGCGGAAAAGCAAAUAAACUGUUUUUAGGAAUGAAUGUUGAAAUAAAUUAAACCUUGAUGACUCAUUCAUGUCUUGGAAAAUUUUUAUUUACCAGAAGUUAUCUCUUUUGCAGGAAUUCUGAAAAAAA